AGGGCGGCAGUUUAAUUGUAAACAUUUGAUUUGCAUUCAAAAAAUUAUUGUAAAAAAUCCGCCUUA
This 66-nucleotide transfer RNA is filed under the name Culicoides arakawae. RNAcentral describes it as "tRNA-Ala". It matches the Rfam family "tRNA". Rfam says of the family: Transfer RNA (tRNA) molecules are approximately 80 nucleotides in length. Their secondary structure includes four short double-helical elements and three loops (D, anti-codon, and T loops). Lineage: Eukaryota; Metazoa; Arthropoda; Insecta; Diptera; Ceratopogonidae. The record is from RNAcentral.